RNAcentral lists this ribosomal RNA (254 nucleotides) under uncultured bacterium. Its description in RNAcentral is "partial 16S ribosomal RNA". It matches the Rfam family "Bacterial small subunit ribosomal RNA", at positions 524 to 776 of the family's 1533-position model. The record is from RNAcentral.
UACGUAGGGUGCGAGCGUUGUCCGGAAUUAUUGGGCGUAAAGAGCUCGUAGGCGGUGUGUCGCGUCGGCCGUGAAAACCUGGGGCUCAACUCUGGGCGUGCGGUCGAUACGGGCAUCACUGGAGUUCGGCAGGGGAGACUGGAAUUCCUGGUGUAGCGGUGAAAUGCGCAGAUAUCAGGAAGAACACCCGUGGCUAAGGCGGCUCUCUAGUACGGUACUGACGCUGAGACGCGAAAGCGUGGGGAGCGAACAGG